UACGAAGGGGGCUAGCGUUGCUCGGAAUUACUGGGCGUAAAGCGCACGUAGGCGGCCUUCUAAGUCGGGGGUGAAAUCCUGGAGCUCAACUCCAGAACUGCCUUCGAUACUGGAGAGCUCGAGUCCGGGAGAGGUGAGUGGAACUGCGAGUGUAGAGGUGAAAUUCGUAGAUAUUCGCAAGAACACCAGUGGCGAAGGCGGCUCACUGGCCCGGUACUGACGCUGAGGUGCGAAAGCGUGGGGAGCAAACAGG
This 253-nucleotide ribosomal RNA is filed under the name uncultured bacterium. RNAcentral describes it as "partial 16S ribosomal RNA". It matches the Rfam family "Bacterial small subunit ribosomal RNA", at positions 524 to 776 of the family's 1533-position model. The record is from RNAcentral.